AUUGAACGCUGGCGGCAGGCCUAACACAUGCAAGUCGAACGAGUGGCGGACGGGUGAGUAAUGUCUGGGAAACUGCCCGAUGGAGGGGGAUAACUACUGGAAACGGUAGCUAAUACCGCAUACCAUCGGAUGUGCCCAGAUGGGAUUAGCUAGUAGGUGGGGUAAUGGCUCACCUAGGCGACGAUCCCUAGCUGGUCUGAGAGGAUGACCCGCCACACUGGAACCUAGACACGGUCCCGACUCCUACGGGAGGCAGCAGUGGGGAAUUGUGCACAAUGGGCGCAAGCCUGAUGGAGCCAUGCCGGGUGUAUGAAGAAGGCCUUCGGGUUGUAAAGUACUUUCAGCGGGGAGGCGUUACCCGCAGAAGAAGCACCGGCUAAAUCCGUGCCAGCCGCCGCGGUAAUAC
Molecule: ribosomal RNA, 406 nt
Filed under: uncultured bacterium
Lineage: Bacteria
Description: partial 16S ribosomal RNA
Rfam family: Bacterial small subunit ribosomal RNA
Source: RNAcentral